This 234-nucleotide unclassified non-coding RNA is filed under the name Glomeraceae sp. RNAcentral describes it as "partial contains 5.8S ribosomal RNA and internal transcribed spacer 2". The stretch from base 1 to 65 matches the Rfam family "5.8S ribosomal RNA", at positions 84 to 154 of the family's 154-position model. Lineage: Eukaryota; Fungi; Glomeromycota; Glomeromycetes; Glomerales; Glomeraceae. The record is from RNAcentral.
GUGAAUCAUCGAAUCUUUGGACGCAAAUUGCACUCUUUUCGGAGAGUAUGCCUGUUUGAGGGUCAGUAUUAAGAAAAUGGGUGUUGCUUUUUUGUGACGUUCCGGAGAUUGGGCUACCUGUAACUUUCGGGGUUAAGAGGCUUAAAAUUGGUCUUUUUUGCGCACUUUUAGACGUACAUAAAUUUUUUUAUUGUCUAUUCUGGUUGCAUAUUACUUAUUAGGUUCGAUCCAAUU